RNAcentral lists this ribosomal RNA (568 nucleotides) under uncultured fungus. RNAcentral's name for it is "eukaryotic LSU rRNA". It matches the Rfam family "Eukaryotic large subunit ribosomal RNA", at positions 68 to 652 of the family's 3401-position model. Lineage: Eukaryota; Fungi. The record is from RNAcentral.
ACAGGGAUUGCCCUAGUAACGGCGAGUGGAGCGGCAACAGCUCAAAUUUGAAAUCUGGCCUUUGGUCCGAAUUGUAAUUUGUAGAGGAUGCUUUUGGUGCGGUUCUUUCCGAGUUCCCUGGAACGGGACGCCUUAGAGGGUGAGAGCCCCGUACGGUUGGAUACCUAGCCUCUGUAAAGCUCCUUCGACGAGUCGAGUAGUUUGGGAAUGCUGCUCAAAAUGGGAGGUAAAUUUCUUCUAAAGCUAAAUACCGGCCAGAGACCGAUAGCGCACAAGUAGAGUGAUCGAAAGAUGAAAAGCACUUUGGAAAGAGAGUUAAAUAGUACGUGAAAUUGUUGAAAGGGAAGCGCUUGCAAUCAGACUUGCGCUGCGUCGAUCAACCUGGGUUCUCCCUGGUGCACUCGGCGCAGCUCAGGCCAGCAUCAGUUUCGGCGGUUGGAUAAAGGCUUGGAGAACGUGAGUUGCUUCGGCGACUGUUAUAGCUCCAGGUGCAAUGCAGCCAGCUGGGACUGAGGACCGCGCUUUUCGCGAAGCUAGGAUGCUGGCGUAAUGGUUGUAAGCGACCCGU